Molecule: ribosomal RNA, 484 nt
Filed under: uncultured bacterium
Lineage: Bacteria
Description: partial 16S ribosomal RNA
Rfam family: Bacterial small subunit ribosomal RNA
Source: RNAcentral
AUUGAACGCUGGCGGCAGGCCUAACACAUGCAAGUCGAGCGGGUGAAGCGAGCUUGCUCCUGGAUGCAGCGGUGGACGGGUGGGUAAUGCCUAGGAAUCUGCCUGGUAGUGGGGGAUAACGUCCGGAAACGGGCGAUAAUACCGCAUACGACCUGAGGGAGAAAGUGGGGGAUCUUCGGACCUCACGCUAUCAGAUGAGCAUAGGUCGGUAGAGCUAGUAGGUGGGGUAAAGGCUUACCAAGGCGACGAACCGAAACUGGUCCGAGAGGGUGACCAGUCACAUGGUAAGUGAGAAACGUCCCCCACUCCUGCGGUAGGCAGCAGUGGGGACUAUUGGACGAUGGGCGAAAGCCUGAUCCAGCCAUGCCGGGUGUGGGAUGAAGGUGUUCGGACUGUAGAGCACUUUAAGUUUGGGGGAAGGGCAGUAAGUUUAUACCUGGCUGUAUUGACGUUACCGACAGAAUAAGCUCCGGCUAACUUCGUG